This 486-nucleotide ribosomal RNA is filed under the name uncultured bacterium. RNAcentral describes it as "partial 16S ribosomal RNA". It matches the Rfam family "Bacterial small subunit ribosomal RNA", at positions 30 to 507 of the family's 1533-position model. The record is from RNAcentral.
AUUGAACGCUGGCGGCAUGCCUUACACAUGCAAGUCGAACGGCAGCACGGUAGCUUGUACCUGUUGGCGAGUGGCGAACGGGUGAGUAAGACAUCGGAACAUGACCCGUCGUGGUGGAUAGCCCGGCGAAAGCCGGACUAAUACCGAUAACGCACUACGCAUGAAAGUGAGGGCCCUGCGUGUUUCGCGCUUUAGGGAUGGCCGAUGGCGGAUUAGCUAGUUGGUGGGGUAAAGGCCUACCAAGGCGACGAUCAGUAGCUGGUCUGAGAGGAUGAGCAGCCACACUGGAACUGAGACACGGCCCAGACUCCUACGGGAGGCAGCAGUGGGGAAUUUUGGACAAAGGGCGAAAGCCUGAUCCAGCAAUGCCGCGUGUGUGAAGAAGGCCUUCGGGUUGUAAAGCACUUUUGUCGGGAAAGAAAAGCUUGACCCUAAUACGGUCGGGGGCUGACGGUACCGAAAGAAUAAGCACCGGCUAACUACGUG